GAUGAACGCUGGCGGCGUGCCUAAUACAUGCAAGUAGAACGCUGAAGCUUGGUGCUUGCACCGAGCGGAUGAGUUGCGAACGGGUGAGUAACGCGUAGGUAACCUGCCUCUUAGCGGGGGAUAACUAUUGGAAACGAUAGCUAAUACCGCAUAAAAGUCGAUAUCGCAUGAUAUUGAUUUGAAAGGUGCAAAUGCAUCACUAAGAGAUGGACCUGCGUUGUAUUAGCUAGUUGGUGAGGUAACGGCUCACCAAGGCGACGAUACAUAGCCGACCUGAGAGGGUGAUCGGCCACACUGGGACUGAGACACGGCCCAGGCUCCUACGGGAGGCAGCAGUAGGGAAUCUUCGGCAAUGGGGGCAACCCUGACCGAGCAACGCCGCGUGAGUGAAGAAGGUUUUCGGAUCGUAAAGCUCUGUUGUAAGAGAAGAACGAGUGUGAGAGUGGAAAGUUCACACUGUGACGGUAACUUACCAGAAAGGGACGGCUAACUACGUG
Molecule: ribosomal RNA, 497 nt
Filed under: uncultured bacterium
Lineage: Bacteria
Description: partial 16S ribosomal RNA
Rfam family: Bacterial small subunit ribosomal RNA
Source: RNAcentral